CGAAUGGGGAAACCCAGUGUGAUUCGUCACACUAUCAUUAACUGAAUCCAUAGGUUAAUGAGGCGAACCGGGGGAACUGAAACAUCUAAGUACCCCGAGGAAAAGAAAUCAACCGAGAUUCCCCCAGUAGCGGCGAGCGAACGGGGAGCAGCCCAGAGCCUGAAUCAGUGUGUGUGUUAGUGGAAGCGUCUGGAAAGGCGUGCGAUACAGGGUGACAGCCCCGUACACAAAAAUGCACAUAUUGUGAGCUCGAUGAGUAGGGCGGGACACGUGGUAUCCUGUCUGAAUAUGGGGGGACCAUCCUCCAAGGCUAAAUACUCCUGACUGACCGAUAGUGAACCAGUACCGUGAGGGAAAGGCGAAAAGAACCCCGGCGAGGGGAGUGAAAAAGAACCUGAAACCGUGUACGUACAAGCAGUGGGAGCACGCUUAGGCGUGUGACUGCGUACCUUUUGUAUAAUGGGUCAGCGACUUAUAUUCUGUAGCAAGGUUAACCGAAUAGGGGAGCCGAAGGGAAACCGAGUCUUAACUGGGCGUUAAGUUGCAGGGUAUAGACCCGAAACCCGGUGAUCUAGCCAUGGGCAGGUUGAAGGUUGGGUAACACUAACUGGAGGACCGAACCGACUAAUGUUGAAAAAUUAGCGGAUGACUUGUGGCUGGGGGUGAAAGGCCAAUCAAACCGGGAGAUAGCUGGUUCUCCCCGAAAGCUAUUUAGGUAGCGCCUCGUGAAUUCAUCUCCGGGGGUAGAGCACUGUUUCGGCAAGGGGGUCAUCCCGACUUACCAACCCGAUGCAAACUGCGAAUACCGGAGAAUGUUAUCACGGGAGACACACGGCGGGUGCUAACGUCCGUCGUGAAGAGGGAAACAACCCAGACCGCCAGCUAAGGUCCCAAAGUCAUGGUUAAGUGGGAAACGAUGUGGGAAGGCCCAGACAGCCAGGAUGUUGGCUUAGAAGCAGCCAUCAUUUAAAGAAAGCGUAAUAGCUCACUGGUCGAGUCGGCCUGCGCGGAAGAUGUAACGGGGCUAAACCAUGCACCGAAGCUGCGGCAGCGACACUAUGUGUUGUUGGGUAGGGGAGCGUUCUGUAAGCCUGUGAAGGUGUACUGUGAGGUAUGCUGGAGGUAUCAGAAGUGCGAAUGCUGACAUAAGUAACGAUAAAGCGGGUGAAAAGCCCGCUCGCCGGAAGACCAAGGGUUCCUGUCCAACGUUAAUCGGGGCAGGGUGAGUCGACUCCUAAGGCGAGGCCGAAAGGCGUAGUCGAUGGGAAACAGGUUAAUAUUCCUGUACUUGGUGUUACUGCGAAGGGGGGACGGAGAAGGCUAUGUUGGCCGGGCGACGGUUGUCCCGGUUUAAGCGUGUAGGCUGGUUUUCCAGGCAAAUCCGGAAAACUAAGGCUGAGGCGUGAUGACGAGGCACUACGGUGCUGAAGCAACAAAUGCCCUGCUUCCAGGAAAAGCCUCUAAGCAUCAGGUAACAUCAAAUCGUACCCCAAACCGACACAGGUGGUCAGGUAGAGAAUACCAAGGCGCUUGAGAGAACUCGGGUGAAGGAACUAGGCAAAAUGGUGCCGUAACUUCGGGAGAAGGCACGCUGAUAUGUAGGUGAAGUCCCUCGCGGAUGGAGCUGAAAUCAGUCGAAGAUACCAGCUGGCUGCAACUGUUUAUUAAAAACACAGCACUGUGCAAACACGAAAGUGGACGUAUACGGUGUGACGCCUGCCCGGUGCCGGAAGGUUAAUUGAUGGGGUCAGCGCAAGCGAAGCUCUUGAUCGAAGCCCCGGUAAACGGCGGCCGUAACUAUAACGGUCCUAAGGUAGCGAAAUUCCUUGUCGGGUAAGUUCCGACCUGCACGAAUGGCGUAAUGAUGGCCAGGCUGUCUCCACCCGAGACUCAGUGAAAUUGAACUCGCUGUGAAGAUGCAGUGUACCCGCGGCAAGACGGAAAGACCCCGUGAACCUUUACUAUAGCUUGACACUGAACAUUGAGCCUUGAUGUGUAGGAUAGGUGGGAGGCUUUGAAGUGUGGACGCCAGUCUGCAUGGAGCCGACCUUGAAAUACCACCCUUUAAUGUUUGAUGUUCUAACGUUGACCCGUAAUCCGGGUUGCGGACAGUGUCUGGUGGGUAGUUUGACUGGGGCGGUCUCCUCCUAAAGAGUAACGGAGGAGCACGAAGGUUGGCUAAUCCUGGUCGGACAUCAGGAGGUUAGUGCAAUGGCAUAAGCCAGCUUGACUGCGAGCGUGACGGCGCGAGCAGGUGCGAAAGCAGGUCAUAGUGAUCCGGUGGUUCUGAAUGGAAGGGCCAUCGCUCAACGGAUAAAAGGUACUCCGGGGAUAACAGGCUGAUACCGCCCAAGAGUUCAUAUCGACGGCGGUGUUUGGCACCUCGAUGUCGGCUCAUCACAUCCUGGGGCUGAAGUAGGUCCCAAGGGUAUGGCUGUUCGCCAUUUAAAGUGGUACGCGAGCUGGGUUUAGAACGUCGUGAGACAGUUCGGUCCCUAUCUGCCGUGGGCGCUGGAGAACUGAGGGGGGCUGCUCCUAGUACGAGAGGACCGGAGUGGACGCAUCACUGGUGUUCGGGUUGUCAUGCCAAUGGCACUGCCCGGUAGCUAAAUGCGGAAGAGAUAAGUGCUGAAAGCAUCUAAGCACGAAACUUGCCCCGAGAUGAGUUCUCCCUGACUCCUUGAGAGUCCUGAAGGAACGUU
RNAcentral lists this ribosomal RNA (2702 nucleotides) under Shigella dysenteriae. RNAcentral's name for it is "partial 23S ribosomal RNA". It matches the Rfam family "Bacterial large subunit ribosomal RNA". The record is from RNAcentral. Lineage: Bacteria; Pseudomonadati; Pseudomonadota; Gammaproteobacteria; Enterobacterales; Enterobacteriaceae.